AAAGUAGUCCCUCCGUCCCAAAAUUCUUGUCUUAGAUUUGUCUAGAUACGGAUGUAUCAAGUCACAUUUUAGUAUUAGAUACAUUUGUAUCUACAUCCGUAUCUAGACAAAUCUAAGACAAGAAAUUUGGGACAGAGGGAGUAAUUG
Non-coding RNA from Triticum aestivum (bread wheat), 147 nucleotides. NCBI's taxonomy places the organism in Eukaryota, Viridiplantae, Streptophyta, Magnoliopsida, Poales, Poaceae. The record is from Rfam.